GACGAACCGAGCGAACGUUGUUCGGAAUCACUGGGCUUAAAGGGCGCGUAGGCGGUGCGGUAAGUCACCUGUGAAACCUCUAGGCUCAACCUAGAGCCUGCAGGCGAAACUGCCGUGCUUGAGGGUGGGAGAGGUGCGUGGAAUUCCCGGUGUAGUGGUGGAAUGCGUAGAUAUCGGGAGGAACACCAGUGGCGAAGGCGGUUGCCUGGAGCUUUGCUGACGCUGAGGCGCGAAAGCGUGGGGAGCGAUCCGG
RNAcentral lists this ribosomal RNA (253 nucleotides) under uncultured bacterium. RNAcentral describes it as "partial 16S ribosomal RNA". It matches the Rfam family "Bacterial small subunit ribosomal RNA", at positions 524 to 776 of the family's 1533-position model. The record is from RNAcentral.